This 305-nucleotide ribosomal RNA is filed under the name uncultured bacterium. RNAcentral describes it as "bacterial SSU rRNA". It matches the Rfam family "Bacterial small subunit ribosomal RNA", at positions 333 to 629 of the family's 1533-position model. The record is from RNAcentral.
GGUGCCCUACGGGACGCAGCAGUGGGGAAUCUUCCGCAGUGGGCGCAAGCCUGACGGAGCAACGCCGCGUGAAUGAAGAAGGUCUUCGGAUCGUAAAGUUCUGUUCUUAGGGAAGAAGUCUUAGGUUGUGAAUAAUGACUUAAGGUGACGGUACCUAUGGAGAAAGCUCCGGCUAACUACGUGCCAGCAGCCGCGGUAAUACGUAGGGAGCGAGCGUUGUCCGGAAUUACUGGGCGUAAAGGGCGCGUAGCCGGGAACUUAAGUUAGAUGUGAAAACUCCGGGCUUAACCUGGCGACUGCAUUUA